RNAcentral lists this ribosomal RNA (433 nucleotides) under uncultured bacterium. RNAcentral describes it as "partial 16S ribosomal RNA". It matches the Rfam family "Bacterial small subunit ribosomal RNA", at positions 29 to 507 of the family's 1533-position model. The record is from RNAcentral.
AACGAACGCUGGCGGCAUGCCUAACACAUGCAAGUCGAACGAGACCUUCGGGUCUAGUGGCGCACGGGUGCGUAACGCGGGGGAACCUGCCCUUAGGUUCCGAAUAACUCCCCGAAAGGGGUGCUAAGACCGGAUAAUGUCUUCGGACCAAAGAUUUAUCGCCUUUGGAUGGGCCCGCGUUGGAUUAGCUAGUUGGUAGGGUAAAAGCCUACCAAGGAGACGAUCCAUAGCUGGUCUGAGAGGAUGAUAAGUCAGGCUGGGACUGAGACACGGCCCAGACUGCGACGGAAGGGAGCAGUGGAGAAUACUGGAGGCUGGGCGAAAGCGUGGUAAAGCAAUGCCGCGUGAGUGAUGAAGGCGUUAGGGUUGUAAAGCCCUUUUACACGGGAUGAUAAUGACAGUACCGGGAGAAGAAGCACCGGCUAACUACGUG